GACGAACGCUGGCGGCGCGCUUAACACAUGCAAGUCGAACGGAAAGGCCUGCUUUCCCUUGUGGAUUGCGGGUACUCGAGUGGCGAACGGGUGAGUAACACGUGAGUGAUCUGCCCCCAACUUGGGUAUAAGCCUGGGAAACUGGGUCUAAUUCCCGAUAGGACUGCAGGGUGGUGCCUGUGGUGGAAAACGAUUUUCUAGUGGUUGGGGAUGAGCUCGCGGCCUAUCAGCUUGUUGGUGGGGUAAUGGCCUACCAAGGCGGCGACGGGUAGCCGGCCUGAGAGGGUGGACGGCCACAUUGGGACUGAGAUACGGCCCAGACUCCUACGGGAGGCAGCAGUGGGGAAUAGUGCACAACGGGCGGAAGCCUGAUGCAGCGACGCCGCGUGGGGGAUGACGGCCUUCGGGUUGUAAACUCCUUUCGACCGCGAGGAAGCCACCUGGUUGGAAGGGUGGUGACGGUAGUGGUAGAAGAAGCACCGGCUAACUACGUG
Molecule: ribosomal RNA, 494 nt
Filed under: uncultured bacterium
Lineage: Bacteria
Description: partial 16S ribosomal RNA
Rfam family: Bacterial small subunit ribosomal RNA
Source: RNAcentral